AGUAAACAGUGCUGCCCUAAUCUGUCUAAAGCCAUGAGGUCGAAGAGGGCGGUGUGUGUGGGGUGAGUCUGAAGCCACAGGCGGAGGAGGAGGAGGAGGAGGAGGAGGAGGAGGAGGAGAAGAAGAAGAAGAAGAAGAAGAAGAAGAAGAGAGAAGAGAAGAGAAGAGAAAGAAGAAAGAAGAAAGGGAAGAAAGAAGAAAGAGAAGAGGAAGAGGAGGAAGAGGAAGAGGAGGAAGAGGAAGAGGAAGGGGAAAAGGGGAAGAAGAAUCGCUAAGUAGCAGCUUUAUACUCAGGCUUCUUGUUUACAUAAUGGGGAGAGUCACGACUGGGUUCUUCUUGGAGCCACCUCCCAGGGCAGUUGUAAGGAGCCCUGAUAAAGAUUUAUGUGGUUUGUUUUCUUUCCCCAAACUUUUGAAGAUCAACAGAGUAGAAUUACUUGUCUGGGUGUCCUGA
Molecule: long non-coding RNA, 454 nt
Filed under: Piliocolobus tephrosceles (Ugandan red Colobus)
Lineage: Eukaryota; Metazoa; Chordata; Mammalia; Primates; Cercopithecidae
Description: lncRNA (ENSPTEG00000039479.1)
Source: RNAcentral